Molecule: ribosomal RNA, 451 nt
Filed under: uncultured Treponema sp.
Lineage: Bacteria; Pseudomonadati; Spirochaetota; Spirochaetia; Treponematales; Treponemataceae
Description: bacterial SSU rRNA
Rfam family: Bacterial small subunit ribosomal RNA
Source: RNAcentral
ACGGGAGGCAGCAGUAGGGAAUAUUGCACAAUGGGGGAAACCCUGAUGCAGCAACGCCACGUGUGGGAAGAAGCAUUUCGGUGUGUAAACCACUGUCGUGAGGGAAUAAUGCUUAAUUUCGGUUAAGUUGAAUGUACCUCGAAAGGAAGCACCGGCAAACUUCGUGCCAGCAGCCGCGGUAAUACGAGGGGUGCAAGCGUUGUUCGGAAUCAUUGGGCGUAAAGGGCAUGUAGGCGGUCUGUCAAGCCAGGCGUGAAAGCCAGGGGCUCAACCCCUGAACUGCGCUUGGAACUGGCGGACUGGAGUCGCUGAGGGGGAACCGGAAUUCCUGGUGUAGGGGUGAAAUCUGUAGAUAUCAGGAAGAACACCGAUGGCGAAGGCAGGUUUCCAGCAGACGACUGACGCUGAGGUGCGAAGGUGCGGGGAGCAAACAGGAUUAGAUACCCUGGUA